GUAGACACCAGAAACUACUAGAGAAGGGAGGGAAGGAAGUGUCACGGAUUGAAAAGUUAACUACUGGGUACUAUGAUCAGUCAUUGGGUGGGAUCAUUAGUACCCCAAACCUCAGCAUCACACAAUAUGUCCAUGUAACAAAUCUGUACAUGUGCACCCCACAUCUAAAAUAAAAGAAGAAAUUAUUUUAAAAAUUAUUAAAGAAAAGAAAUAGAGAUAUCAGAAUUUCCUUAGUAUAAUGGAGAAACUUGGGGAAAUAGGAUGGCUGAAGUAAAUUUUCUCUGAGAGGCAAUUGACUCAAUCACCCUGUAGUUCUGUUUUCUGAGAGGUCCUAGUUUAUAGCCCCUUCCCCACAGAAUUGAGAAAUAAAUUAGUAUAGAUAAAUGUAUUAGUAGAAACCCUGUAGUGCCUGUUCUCUGUAGACCAAGGAUAAAGAUGAGAAAUAGUGACGCUGAAACAGACUGUCUGAUUUCAAUGGGGUUAUAGAAUCCCUUGGUAACAGAGGCAAAGUAGCAGCACUUAAUGAAAAGGGACAAGAUUAUAACAGUUACUCUAACAGGCAGCAGAGCCAAAGUGGUAAUAGAAAUGCUUUGAUCUGCAGUUAUUUUUGGCAAUAACUAAUUGAUCAUUACAUUUCUAGAACUGAAAUAGAUGAACAUUUCAUUAAUUCUCUACUUGACCUGUAUUAUCAGAAACGAUAAAAAUUUAUCUAUAUUAGAAAGGUCAAAGUGGAAGACUUUGCAACUGGAGAAAUUUUCAGAAAUAUAAGUCUAUCGUAAUUAUAAACAGGGAAUUUCUUAAGCCACAUGGACAGAAACUCGGAGAGUAAGUUAUAAUCUUGAUGACAAAAAGAUCUGGGGAGAAGACUCAUGAAUGAAUCUCUUGAAAUAAUCCCAGAAUGGGAGAUUGUUUGCUUUUUGUGUAAAUGGUCAUCUAAUAGAAUCCUCUUCUGAGCAGACUCUUGGUCAGGUAGAUCACAUGAUCACACUGUGGAUGUCUGUUUCUUUCUUUAACUCUUCCAUUUCAUGACCAUUGAGCUCAUAAACAAAGUGGGGAUAAUGGUGGAGACUCAAGAUUUCUCCUCACUGAAGUUUUUGCCUGGCUUCUUACAUUGUAGUGUGCCAAAUAUGGCAUUUACAGGGAAGAAUGGUGAACCCUUGUGUCACAUCAUAUUACAUGAGACAAAUCAGCCACCUGGGAACAAGUGAACCCAUUUCAUUACGUGUUUCAGCUGCCUAAACAGAACCUGAAUGUUGCAGAUUAAAUGAAGAAAAUAGUCACAUAUCCAGGACGGAAUAUAAAGGUCAUCAUAUUUAUAACUACCAAAGAGUUCUGGAGAAUGAAGUGAAUGUCCUGGUGGCCUUGUAUGAUACCCCCAGUUAUGAAUUCUGAGAUAACAGGUUAUUCUGGAGUCCUAUUUUUAACUCCUUCAAUUACCUAAUAAGCAAGACGAUAAAACUGAAACUUACGGUGGCAAUUUGGAAACCUAAAGGUCUAUAAGAGUUGGAAGAAAAAAAAAGUUUCCUCUCUUUGUGGCAGUAGAUUUAGCUCAAGAAAUGAGAAGUGAGGUGUGGUAGUCUUUGUGUUUUGAGAGUAGCAAGAGAGCAAGUCAGCAGGCCUGUUGGAGAGUGAGCCUGGGACGCAUGCAGAGCAGGGAGAGCUAGAGGGUUCAGAGGCCCUUUCAUGAUACUGACAAGAGGGCUCAGAAGCCAGCAUAGCCUAGACAACAAACAAACAAACAAAUCAACCAAAGCAUGUCCUAGAGAAUUAUCAAAUGUGUUUGUUGAAUUGAAUUAAAAUAGGUAGAUAAAAUGAAAAUCAGUAUUGGUUUAUUAACUUUAACUAUGAAGGUUAGUAUUGGUUUAUUAACUUUAGAUCAGGUUUAUUUAAGGACAUUAUUACACAGUGCUUAGACUUUUAUCCUUUACCUUUGGAGGUGGGCAUUUUAUGCAUCAGCAUGCCUAAUACUUGUUAGGGAUUAGUGGAAUUAACAGAGCAUCACCUGGUUGGCCUCUGGUGCCCCCUUCUCAGUUGAUAUUGCCCCAAAUCAUCUCCUAGAGACCCAGGUUGUAGACUCACGGGAUAAGAGGAGAGAAUUAUCCAUUCUACACUCUAUACUAAUAAGCUUCCAAAACUUGUAUUAUCUUUGGAAAUCCUUACCUCCUACCUGAAGGACAAAGUGGCUGAGGGUAUAGAGGCUAGUUUUCAGUCUUUUAUGACAAUGUUAAACAACAAUGAUUUUCCUCCAUAAUAAUCACCUACAUGACGGGUUGAUGGGUGCAGCAAACCACCGUGGCACAUGUAUACCUAUGUAACAAACCUGAACGUUCUGCACAUGUAUCCCGGAACUUAAAGUGAAAAAAAAAAAAAAAAAGCUGUAUGCCACAAACACACAAUAAAAUAAAAUAAAUAAUCACCCAAGGGCACAAUGCUACUGUCAUUUUCUUGACCUCAUUUCACAGAAUUCUUUGAAAAAGACUUGAAUAUUAUUCUUAGAUAAUUUCUCACUAGCCUGCAAAGAAACUUAUAAUUUUGAGUUUUAAAGUUUCUAUCCUGAAAUUUUAGCAAAAAAAUGUCCCCCGAGGACUGUUGGCAAAAAAAAUCUCACAUCUCUACUAUUACCUUACACUUCUUACCAAGUUAACAUUGUUAUGAUCAAUAGCAUCAGAUGCUAUAUGCUUGGAAUUGUUUUUAAUAAAUCAAUUUCCAUUAUGAUGCUCUUCAAAUAUGGAAAUACAAAGUGUUGCUAGCAAAGAUAGUCUGCUGGUUUAUUAAAAUUAAAUUUAUUAAAAUUCAGAAGUUGCUAAAAGAGGAAUGUUACUGGCUUAUCAAUAUUUGAAGCUUUCAGUUUUUUCCUACAAGAUUUACUUAUUAUACAAGCACAAAGGAUUACAUGAAAGGGAAACGUUUUAUCUGAAGUUGCGCAGGUAUGCAUUAUUUAGAAAGGUUGUGCAAAUUUGUGUGUAGAGGAGAUGAAGUAGGAGUGUUGUUAUUGCUCUUUAAAACACACUGAACUGGAUUUAACUUCAUUGCCACAGUAAGAUAAGAAAGUCAGUUGGUCAGAGGAAAAAGUCAUCGGGAAGAGUUAAGUUGCAGACCUCUCACUUCAGAGAAUCUCAACUCAUCAGUGCUGCAGUGAACCAGUCAAAUAAGAUCUGAGGCUUCCACACAGAGGAGCCCUUCAAAGACUUGCCUUAAAACUGCUGGGUCUCCUCAGAUCAUUGUUCCUUCAGUGACUUCCCUGGCAUUGAUAUUAGUGUCCUCUGUCCCUGCUGAAUGCUGCACACAACCCUGCAGUGGUGAGUGAAACCGUACAGCAGUAGACUGUCUAGAACAAGCUGCUCAUUAAAAAAAGCAGAAUCCAAAUGCAUAUCAAACACAACUUUAACUUUGGAAGAAACCUUACAGACCACGUUUUUAUGUUCUCUCUAGUAGAACACCUGCUUUGAUCAUCAAGUGACAUGGAGCCUAUGGACCUGAAAGAAAACAAUUACAUUAUGUUAUGAAUGCAUUCAUUCAUUGUUAUGUUAUUAUGAAAUAUAAAAUUGUGUUCUCUGUUAUUGAUAUGAAGUCUUUGUGUAAACUUCCAUACAUUGGUAUGUGCUUGCUUUGAGGUUACCAAUUUUAAAGUAAUUCUGGUUUUGCUUUUAUAAGCACCUCUUCUAUAUUUUAGGACUGCUCUCAACAUUCUCAUUAAGUAUUCUCAAUUCCACUACAAAUAUUCUAGUUUAUUGUAACAUUUCUUACAUAAAACAGCAAGGUCUCUUAGUGUUAUAGCCACCAUUCUCAAAAUUCUGUACAGUUUUAUCACAGUUCAUUUAAAACAUGGUAACCAGACAUAAAUAUAAUACACGGUACAGAUCACGGAAGAGGUAAAGCAAAAUGGUGGAAUAGAAGGCUCCACUCCUCCCUCAAGGACACCAAUUUAACAACUGUUGACACAGAAAAAAACACCUUCAUAACAGCCAGAAAUCAGAUGAGCCUUCCUCAUACCUGGUGUCAUCUUUGUAUCACUGAAAUAGGCACAGACAACAUUGACAAAACAAACAGCCUUGAAUUGCCAACGCCGCUUAUCCACCAACCCCAGCAGCCUAGGCAUGGUGCAGAGAGCAUCUCUGGGCCCUGCAGGUGGGAGAACACAACAAUUGUGAGACAUUGAACUCAGUGCUAUCCUGUUAAGCAGAAUGGAAGACCAGACCAAAUUCACCUGACACCCAUCCAUGGAGGGAGCAUUUAAACCCGCACUCACCGGAGGAUAAUUGCCAGUUCCAGAGGUCUGAACUUGACUUCCCACAAACUCUGCCGCCAAGGGCCACAGUGCUCUGUGUCUCUAAGUAAACUUAAAAGGCAGUGUAGGCCAUACAGACUGCAAUUCUUCGGUAAGUUCUAGUCCUCAAAUGAGCCGCCCAGACACAGUGGAUUGGGUGGAGGGCAUGCGACCUACUGAGACAUCAACCAGAGUGGUUAAGGGAGUGCUGGCAUCACCCCUCCCCUAAGCCCAGCCUGCUUCAAAAGAGAUCCCUUCCUUCUGCUUGAGGACAGGAGAGGUAAGAGUGGAGAGAACUUUGUCUUGCAUCUUGGAUACCAGCUCAGCCACAGAAGGAUAGGGCACUGGUCUGAUUUGUGAGGCCCUCAUUCCAAGACCUAGCUCCUGGAAGACAUUUCUAGACACACUCUUGGUGAGACGGGAACCCACUACCUUGAAGGGAAGGGCCCAGUUCUGGCAAGCUUCAUCAUUUGCUUACUGAAGAGCUCUUGGGCCCUGAAUAACCAGCAACAAUACCCAGGUACUAUAUUGAGGGCCUUGGGUGAGGCUCUGAGUCUUCCCUGCUUCAGGUGAGAUACAGCAUAUCAUCAGCUGUGGUGGCUAUGCGGUGAAACUCCUUUGGCUUGUGAAAAGCAGAGGCAAAAGUAAUGGGGAAUUUGUCUUACACCUUAUGUACCAUCAUGGCCACAGGGGCAUAGAGCACCAGGCAGGUUCUUGGGGUCCCAAUUCCAGGAAUUGAGUCAUGGAUGGCAUUUCUGGACUAGUAGGGGAGCCUAUUGUCCUGAAGAGUGAGUCCCAGGCCAGGCAGAAUUCACCUUGGGCUUUAAGGGAACAUCUGCAAUAGUCUUGUAGUACUCCUUGUGGCUUGUGGUAGCAGUGGGUAUGGGAUGAGGCUCCUCUGUUUUUGGAAAGAGUGGGAAGAGCUGCGUCUUGUGGUGUGAGUGCCAGCUCAGCUGCAGUACAGUAGAACACCAGGUAGACUUUUAGGGUUUUUGGCUCUGGUUGCUGUCUCCUGGAUAGCAUCUCUGGACCCACUCAAGGCCUGGGAGAGCUCGGUGCCCUGAAGGAAAGGACACGAGCCUGGUUGGCUUUGCUGCCUGCUGAAUGUAGAGGCCCAGGACCUUGAGUGAACAUAGGCAGUAGCCAGGGAGUAGUUACAGUAUCUCUUGGGUGAGAUCCAGGACUGUGCUGGCUUCAUAUCUGACCCAGCAUAGUCAUAGUGGUAGUGUACACAGGAGUGCUUGUGUCACUCUACUACAAGGUUUAGGUGGCUCAGAACAGAGAGAUGAGACUGUUUGUUUGGAAGAAAGUAAGAGAAGCAAACAAGAGUCUCUGCCUAGUAAUACAGAUAAUUCUCCCAGAUUUUGUCCAAGAUCAUCAAAGUGGUACCUCUACAAGUCUGCAAGAAUCACAGUAUUACUGGUCUCGGGGUGACUCCAAAAGCAGAAACAGCUUACAUCACAGCACUCAAGUCCUUUCAAAUACCUGAAAAGCUUUCAUAAAAAGGAUGGGUACAAAUAAGCCAAGACAAUGAAGACUACAAUAAACACCUAACUCUUCAAUGACCAGACACCAAAGAACGUCUACUAGCAUCAACACCAUUCAGGAAAAGAUGGCCUCACCAAAUGAACUAAACAAGGCACCAGGGACCAAUCUUGGAGAAACAGAGAUGUGUGACCAUUCAGAGAGAGAAUUCAAAAUAGAUAUGUUGAAGAAACUAAAAAAUAUUCAAAAUGACACAGAAGAGGAAUUCAGAAUGCUAUUAGAUAUAUUUAACAAAGAAAUUGAAAUAAUUAAAAAGAAUCAAGCAGAAAUUCUGGAGCUGAAAAAUGCAAUUGGCAUACUUAAGUAUCAAAGUCAUUUAAUUGCAGAAUCGAUCAAGGAGAAGAGAGAAUUAGUAAGCUUGAAAACAAAGUAUUUGCAAAUACAUAGUCAAAGGAGACAAAAGAACAAGACUAAAAAGCACUGAAGCACACCUAUGAGAUCUAAAAAAUAAUCUCAAAAGGGCAAAUCUAAGAGUUACUGGCCUUAAAGAGGAGGCAGAGAAAGAGAUAGAGGUAGAAAGUUUAU
Molecule: non-coding RNA, 6337 nt
Organism: Chlorocebus sabaeus (green monkey)
Lineage: Eukaryota; Metazoa; Chordata; Mammalia; Primates; Cercopithecidae
Source: RefSeq, a predicted model, not a curated record